CAGUAGCCGCGGGAAUACGGAGGGUGCAAGCGUUAAUCGGAAUUACUGGGCGUAAAGCGCACGCAGGCGGUUUGUUAAGUCAGAUGUGAAAUCCCCGAGCUUAACUUGGGAACUGCAUUUGAAACUGGCAAGCUAGAGUCUUGUAGAGGGGGGUAGAAUUCCAGGUGUAGCGGUGAAAUGCGUAGAGAUCUGGAGGAAUACCGGUGGCGAAGGCGGCCCCCUGGACAAAGACUGACGCUCAGGUGCGAAAGCGUGGGGAGCAAACAGGAUUAGAUACCCGUGUAGUCCCUGUCUCUUAUAU
Molecule: ribosomal RNA, 301 nt
Filed under: uncultured bacterium
Lineage: Bacteria
Description: partial 16S ribosomal RNA
Rfam family: Bacterial small subunit ribosomal RNA
Source: RNAcentral